AUGCAUCCCAGUAAAGGCAGACUGGGUGCAGGUGAGAGCAUCCUGUGUGUGCUCACCUUGAACACACCUGGCUGGACUGUCCUCUACCAGCUGGACCUCAUCUGUCAGAUCACCAUGGAGACGGAGCUGGCAGAGUACCGGGAGUCGGUGCGUCGUGUGGAGGAGGAGAGGGAGCGGCAGCAGCAGGAGUUCACCAUCACGGAGAGGGACCUCGGAGCAGGAGGAGGCCAGGCUACACAGGUGCUUUAGAGGCUACAUGGACAUGGAGGGGGUUCUCAGAUUGAGUCAUAGUGUUCGAUUGGUCCAGCCCCAAAUGCUUAAAGGACAAUAGCAGUCUGUGUGAUCAAACCAUCAUGAUGGUGUCUCUUGGCUUGACUUAAACACACUUCACCGUCAUCAUCGUGGGUCAAAAACUAUUCCUAGUGGCGAUUCUGGCCGACAGCCGGCCAAGACUGGUAACCAUGGCAACAGAGCACUUGCACUUGUGUAGGAAUCAGUGUGCGCAAGUCAGUUAGGACUUUGUGGACCACAUAACAGCCAAUCGCUGUUACAACUUCACACACUGUCUAAUUACAAGGGCUAUAUUGUCUACAUUUGUGGCAGGAGCAUUGAGGCAAGAUGCUCAGAGGCAGAAUCUGCACAACAAAGUGAUUUUGACCGAAUUGAUGUUUCAUUAAAGCCCCGAUGAACGGUUUCUAAGAAUGCCACACAUGUGUUCUCCUGUCAAUACCUAAUUAACGAAAAUGUAAGCAAUACUUAAAGAUUCCCCCUCCCCCGAUCCAUCCCCACUCUUUAGUUGUAAUGCUCCCCCUGAUGUUUCCCUUCAUUGGGGCCCUCUGCCACUCCCUAGUCUCAGUGUCCCGUGUCCUCUAGGGGCCCCGCUCCGCUCCGGUCCAGGUCCCGCUCCCGCUCAGGAGAUACCAGGUGACUGAUCCUGUUCUACUCUCCCUUGAUCCUGGUCCAACUCUGGACUCAAAUGCACAUCGUUUUAAAAAACAGAGGAAGGCUGUAAAUGUGGCUCAGUUUGCCCUCUAGGGGUUAAACGAAGGCUUGCAUGAGCUACUUGUAAAAGGCCGUUAAGGGGACCAGAGAAUGUCGUACAAAGAUUAAAUAUUCAAAUAUAAAAUUUUCAAAUAUUCUGCCCCCUCCCCCCCGGUGGCCCCAGACCCUCCCUCCUCUCC
This 1181-nucleotide long non-coding RNA is filed under the name Gadus morhua (Atlantic cod). RNAcentral describes it as "lncRNA (ENSGMOG00000031681.1)". Lineage: Eukaryota; Metazoa; Chordata; Actinopteri; Gadiformes; Gadidae. The record is from RNAcentral.